CCGGACAACCUCGGGAAACUGAGGCUAAUCCGGAAUACGGCUCUCAGCCUGGAAGUGGCGAGAGUCAGAAACGCUCCGGCGCCAUAGGAUGUGGCUGCGGCCGAUUAGGUAGACGGUGGGGUAACGGCCCACCGUGCCCAUAAUCGGUACGGGUUGUGAGAGCAAGAGCCCGGAGACGGUAUCUGAGACAAGAUACCGGGCCCUACGGGGGGCAGCAGGCGCGAAAUCUUUACACUGCACGAAAGUGCGAUAAGGGGACUCCAAGUGCGAGGGCAUAUAGUCCUCGCUUUUCACCACCGUAAGGAGGUGGUAGAAUAAGUGCUGGGCAAGACCGGUGCCAGCCGCCGCGGUAAUACCGGCAGCACGAGUGGUGACCGCUCUUAUUGGGCCUAAAGCGUCCGUAGCU
This 406-nucleotide ribosomal RNA is filed under the name uncultured archaeon. RNAcentral describes it as "bacterial SSU rRNA". It matches the Rfam family "Archaeal small subunit ribosomal RNA", at positions 122 to 526 of the family's 1478-position model. The record is from RNAcentral.